This 1632-nucleotide long non-coding RNA is filed under the name Erythranthe guttata (spotted monkey flower). Its description in RNAcentral is "long non-coding RNA (EGUT_LNC003332)". Lineage: Eukaryota; Viridiplantae; Streptophyta; Magnoliopsida; Lamiales; Phrymaceae. The record is from RNAcentral.
UUACUUAUAAAAUACCUAUUUACAAAUAAUAAAUGCAACCAUUCUAUUAAAAUGACAAUUCAUUAAAAUAACUUCUCCAUCAUUCACAUAAAAAAAAAAAAUUUGAACCCAUAUGUAAAAAAAAAUAUAUCCAUUUGUAUAUACUAUCAACUAUUACUACAAAUUCUUCACCGUUCUCCAUUGUUGAUACACAUAAACCUCACUGAAGCUCUUGCAGUAAUGAGUAACAACUUCUUUGUCAUCGUCAACACACAUUUGCUUUAUAUAUAUUUUCAUGAAAACAUCUGCAAAAUAAAAGUAUUCACCAGUCAAGUCAUUAAUAGGUUCAUCGUACAAAAACUUAUACAUGGAUCAGAAGUAAAUUAACCACGUAGAUAAUGAAAUCUAAAUAAAUCAAAAGUUUAUAUCAUCCUGGCUAGCAUUCACUCACAUCAUGAUUCUGAAAAAUUGUUUGUAUGUCCGUCAAAAUGUUUGCAUGUAUUUUAAAUUAACUGAAAAAUAUGAUGGAAAAAGUUCAUUAGGUGGUUAAAUAUAAUCAUUUGAGCAAUAAAAUAAGAAUGACAAGGGGAAAUAAAAUUCCUAAAGAAGCUAAAGCAUCAUUUAGGCAAAAUAAAAGUAAUAUAUAAACUAGUGUUUGACAGAAACCUACUGAUACAACAAGAGAUAAAGGGACAACCUCGAGCAAAAAAGACCUGCAAUUAAUAAUAUAAUCAGUGUAAUUAAAAAAUUAAGCCACAUACCAUUGUAUGAAAAAGUAUUAUUGGCCAAUAAUCUUUCACACAAAUGCAUACACUUGAGCAGUAUAUAUUCUAGACAAUACCACUACCAAAUUAAACAUCUCAUUAGAAAGAAGAAGAAUAUAUAAUAGAAGAAAUUAAAUGAUCAUUAGCUCGUAGAUGUUACCGGAGAUCUAUUUGCUCCUUGGAUCAUCGCUGAUCAAUACCAGUACCAUAUUAAAUGACCAUAGAAGAAAUUAAGUGAUCAAUACCAGUACUAUAUUAUUGUUUUAUGUGUGUUCCCCAUGUGUAGGUAAUUUUUUCCCCUCUCAGUCCACUGGAGAAAAAAAAAUUCAGCACGAAACCAUAAUAACAAUCAUAACUUAAAAAUGAAAAUAGCCGGCUGAUCCAUCAUGCUUUAGCGAGUUCAGGUUAAGAAAUUAAUGAGUAGACUUACUAAGAAAUUAACAUCAAUUCUAAAGUAAACUGAAGAAAUGUUUUGCUAGAGUAUCAUACAAUCACUUCAUUUUUCCGUCUAUGUAAGAGGCUGGAAAUUAGUAGAAAACUAAAUUUUAAUACCGACUUAAUAGAAACAAAUAUCGUCGAGUAUGAUUAAAAGAAUGGAGUUCUAGAAUAACACAGGGUAAAGGCACAUGAUUUCAACCUAGAUUUAUCUAGAAUAAUUUUGCACCAUAUAUCCUCAGACAAAUAUAAUCCCAACAUUUGUUGAGUAUAAAUGGAAAACAAUAAUUUAUGACAAUCCACAAAAACGAAUCCCCUUUUAAACUGAAAAAUGAGAAAUCUCCUUUUACUUCCAUAGUUUACUCCCCAAACUACAACUACCAGAUCAUAAGUACCAAUUGUAAUGGUGAAAAAAAUUUCCCUUCACCUGUAAUGUUUUUGUUCAGAAAUUGGU